CUUGCAAGACAUUUCUUGCAAAUACCCCUUCCAAUGUCCAUCAUUUCAUAAAGAAAGUUUGUUCCCUUGGAGUUUAUUUCACUUUCUUCAUUUGACUUCUCCUUUGACUACAAUAGUCAUGGUCCCUAAACUCCCACUAUCUCUCUUGAAACUUAUUUCAAUUGUGUUAUACACAUCAAACAUUUUGGAGAGUAUGUUUUAUUGUUCACUACAUAGUUUACAAUAAACUUAGUGAACCAUUAGGAUAGGGA
This 251-nucleotide long non-coding RNA is filed under the name Malus domestica (apple). RNAcentral's name for it is "long non-coding RNA (MDOM_LNC000247)". Lineage: Eukaryota; Viridiplantae; Streptophyta; Magnoliopsida; Rosales; Rosaceae. The record is from RNAcentral.